GCUUGGGCAACAGAUUGAGAUGCUGUCUAAAAAAAAAAAAAGGACUGAUUUUCCAGAUUGGAUUAAUAGGACUUCAGGACCCCCAAAGGACCACAUCCUAGAAGUUGUAACUCGAUCUGCAAAAUGUAUGCAAACUUCUGUUAAAUUAGAUUGAAGGCCACAUUUGUAAUCAAGAGCCUUGGGGGCAAAAGAGACAGAAAAGCAAACAGGAACACUGAAACAUUUUGUUUUUCUCCCCGUCAAAACUAAGAUAAACAGUUAUGUGACAAGUGGCAGAGGAAGAACAAAAUGAAUGUAAUAUAUUCUAAGUAAGAACUAUAAAGGCAAGAAAGAUUUUAGUUUCAAGUGGUAAUUUCAUUUUGAGCUGUAAUGAGCAAAAUGUGAGGAGCAAAAUGGACUUUUUCUAUAGCAGAGCACACGUGAAAGUGAGAUUUCUGUUUCUGCCUGUUCUCUCAGUGACCAGUACUAGUGUGGAACGGAAGAUGAGAUGAGCUUAUAUCCCCUUGUGUGUGCUGUGCGUUUUAAUGAUAGUUUGGCGUGCAGGGGCAGAGGCCUACAGCUUUAAAAAGUGGAUGUGCUUUAUCAUUUUAACUCAAGAUGACGACUCAUUUUUCCCCUUUGUGCAGUUCAGGAAACCAGGCUGAAGAACGUGAAGUAUAUCGCCCAAAGUCAGACACGAAGGAACAACUGCUUUGGAGCUAGCACAUUCCUGAGCUGGAAUUGCACCACUGGUCAAUGGGACUGCAGAAUCCAAACUGUUUUCUACCGGAACAACUCCUUCCCUGCAGGAAGCAGGGUGCUCAUGGCUGAACCAUGGUCUGAGAAGGUUGAUGAAGUCACUGACUCAGCCCCAGCAAGGAAGUUGUCCUUCGACUUCUGACCUCUGGCCCUGUUUGAAAACCAACUCAAAUCGUCUUUCUUUUUCAGGGGAUGGAAUUGGCAAAAGAAUAUCGUGGGUCUACAUGAGCAUGGAGCUGAUAGAAGAAACUGUCAAAUACAAUCUAAAAGAACACAGUCCUUGUAAUGUAGGGGUGUGCAGAGACAGAACACAUCUUGAACUAAAACACUAA
This 1070-nucleotide long non-coding RNA is filed under the name Macaca nemestrina (pig-tailed macaque). RNAcentral's name for it is "lncRNA (ENSMNEG00000046125.1)". Lineage: Eukaryota; Metazoa; Chordata; Mammalia; Primates; Cercopithecidae. The record is from RNAcentral.